This 191-nucleotide unclassified non-coding RNA is filed under the name uncultured fungus. Its description in RNAcentral is "sequence contains ITS1". The record is from RNAcentral. Lineage: Eukaryota; Fungi.
UUUAUAUAUUGCUUGUUGCUCUGACAAUAAAAUUAAGAGUAUUAUGACUCCGGCGAGCUCACAUCGUCAGUUUCCUGCCGAAGGUGUUGCCACGUCUCGCCGAAGCAACCUGUGCUCUGUAAUCAAGGGUGGGAGAUCCUGUAGAACAGGAAAACUCGAUAAUGAUCCUUCCGCAGGUUCACCUACGGAAA